UACGUAGGGGGCAAGCGUUGUCCGGAAUCAUUGGGCGUAAAGCGCGCGUAGGCGGCCUCGUAAGUCCGCUGUGAAAGUCAAAGGCUCAACCUUUGAAUGCCGGUGGAUACUGCGAGGCUAGAGUCCGGAAGAGGCGAGUGGAACUCCUGGUGUAGCGGUGGAAUGCGCAGAUAUCAGGAAGAACACCAACGGCGAAGGCAGCUCGCUAGGACGGUACUGACGCUAAGGCGCGAAAGCGUGGGGAGCAAACAGG
Molecule: ribosomal RNA, 253 nt
Filed under: uncultured bacterium
Lineage: Bacteria
Also listed under: 1 other name
Description: partial 16S ribosomal RNA
Rfam family: Bacterial small subunit ribosomal RNA
Source: RNAcentral